CAGCAGCCGCGGUAACACGUAGGUGGCAAGCGUUGUCCGGAAUUAUUGGGCGUAAAGGGCUCGCAGGCGGUUUCUUAAGUCCGAUGUGAAAGCCCCCGGCUCAACCGGGGAGGGUCAUUGGAAACUGGGAAACUUGAGUGCAGAAGAGGAGAGUGGAAUUCCACGUGUAGCGGUGAAAUGCGUAGAGAUGUGGAGGAACACCAGUGGCGAAGGCGACUCUCUGGUCUGUAACUGACGCUGAGGAGCGAAAGCGUGGGGAGCGAACAGGAUUAGAUACCCCCGUAGUCCCUGUCUCUUAUAC
This 301-nucleotide ribosomal RNA is filed under the name uncultured bacterium. RNAcentral describes it as "partial 16S ribosomal RNA". It matches the Rfam family "Bacterial small subunit ribosomal RNA", at positions 509 to 807 of the family's 1533-position model. The record is from RNAcentral.